Molecule: ribosomal RNA, 1900 nt
Filed under: Phaeocystis antarctica
Lineage: Eukaryota; Haptophyta; Phaeocystales; Phaeocystaceae
Description: bacterial LSU rRNA
Rfam family: Bacterial large subunit ribosomal RNA
Source: RNAcentral
GUACCGUGAGGGAAAGGUGAAAAGAACCCCGGAGAGGGGAGUGAAAUAGAACCUGAAACCGUAUGCGUACAAGCAGUGGGAGCAUCCUUCGGGGUGUGACUGCGUACCUUUUGUAUAAUGGGUCAUCGACUUGGUCUAUCUAGCAAGCUUAAGCCGUUAGGUGUAGGCGCAGCGAAAGCGAGUCUUAAUAGGGCGAAUGAGUUAGGUGGAUCAGACCCGAAACCGAGUGAUCUAGGCAUGACCAGGUUGAAGGUGCAGUAACAUGCACUGGAGGACCGAACCCACAUCUGUUGAAAAAGAUCGGGAUGAGUUGUGCCUAGGGGUGAAAGGCCAAUCAAACUCGGAGAUAGCUGGUUCUCUGCGAAAUCUAUUUAGGUAGAGCGUCAUCCGAAUACCCUCGGGGGUAGAGCACUGGAUGGGUAAUGGGGACUCACCGUCUUACUGAUCCUAACCAAACUCCGAAUACCGAGGAGUACUAGAUGGCAGACACACAGCGAAUGCUAACGUCCGUUGUGGAGAGGGAAACAACCCUGACCUACAGCUAAGGCCCCCAAUUCAUGGCUAAGUGGGAAAGCAAGUGGGACGACCAAAACAACCAGGAGGUUGGCUUAGAAGCAGCCAUCCUUUAAAGAUAGCGUAACAGCUCACUGGUCUAAUUAAGUUGUCCUGCGGCGAAGAUGUAACGGGGCUCAAGCCAUGAGCCGAAGCUUAGGAUGUAAUUUAUUACAUGGUAGCAGAGCGUAGUGUGACAUAGUUCCACGUGUUUUUGAUCCCUUCGGGGUGAUUGAACACAUGGAGCUUUCUGUGAAGCCGGCGCGUGAGCGAUCCGGUGGAGAGAUCACUAGUGAGAAUGAUGACAUGAGUAGCGACAAAGAGUGUGAGAGACACUCUCGCCGAAAAUCCAAGGGUUCCUGCUUAAAGCUAAUCUGAGCAGGGUAAGCCGACCCCUAAGGCGAGGCCGAAAGGCGUAGUCGAUGGGAACCAGGUUAAUAUUCCUGGGCCAGAUGGUAGUGACGGAUCUCGAGGGUAGUUCAUCCUUAUCGGAUUGAAUGGGCUGCUUAGAGGUUCCUGGAAAUAGCUCCAUCGUUAGAUCGUACCCUAAACCGACACAGGUGGAUUGGUAGAGAAUACCAAGGCGCUUGAGAGAACUAUGUUGAAGGAACUCGGCAAAAUAGCUCUGUAACUUAGGAAGAAGGAGUGAUAAAAUUAUAUUUUAUUGACACUAAAGAAGGAGAAGCGACUGUUUAAUAAAAACACAUGUCUCUGCUAAUUCGAAAGAAGAUGUAUAGGGGCUGACACCUGCCCGGUGCUGCAAGGCUAAAUGCGAUUGUUUAGGCAAUCAAUUGAAUUCCCAGUAAACGGCGGCUGUAACUCUGACGGUCCAAAGGUAGCGAAAUUCCUUGUCGGGUAAGUUCCGACCUGCAUGAAUGGUGUAACGACUUCUCCGCUGUCUCCAACAUAGGCUUGGUGAAUUUGAAAUAUCCGUGAAGAUGCGGAUUAAUUGCAGCUAGACGGAAAGACCCCGUGCACCUUUACUAUGAUUUUAAGUUGUAAAGUUUUAAUUUUUGUGUAGAAUAGGUGGGAGUAAAAAACAUCAAGUGAAAUACCACCCUUAAAUUUUAGCUUUACUUAAUUUUAUAAACAGCUUAUGAGAGGUAGUUUGACUGGGGCGGUCACCUCCUAAAAAGUAACGGAGGUGUACAAAGGCAGAUUUAAAUAUUAAUUUAUUUUUAAACGUAAUGGUGUAUAUCUGCUUAACUGAUAAGAUUAACAAAUCAAACAGGGAUAAAAUUUUUUUAAAUUUAGUCGGUCAUAGUGAUCUGGUGAAUUUGAGUAGAAAAUUCAUCACGCAACGAAUAAAAGGUACGCCGGGGAUAACAGGCUUAUAAUUUUUGAGAGU